Molecule: long non-coding RNA, 3563 nt
Organism: Calidris pugnax (ruff)
Lineage: Eukaryota; Metazoa; Chordata; Aves; Charadriiformes; Scolopacidae
Exons: 5
Source: RefSeq, a predicted model, not a curated record
AGUGGUCUGACCAAUGCUUCUCCUCCUCUGGCAAGGAAGCAGUGGGGAGGAACCAUGGAACAUUCCCCAAAAAGGAUGUAGUUAAUGAUACACCCACAUACAGUGCAAGAAUAGAAUAAGGGAGGAGUAAUCUGCUGUCACAGAUCGAGAAACUUAAAUCAUCAGUGAGAGAAGACCUGAAUAAAAAUAACACCUUUUACAAGAGGAGGAUAGAAGAAUUGGGGCAGAGGCUUCAGGAGCAGAAUGAUCUGAUUAUAACUCAAAAGAAGCAGAUAAAAGAAUUGUCCACAAGAUCAGUUGCAAACAUUAAACCAUAUGACGUGAACACUAUUGUAGAGCGUCUUGAAGAACCUAAACCAAGUCUACCAGUGAUGCACGGUCUCUCUGUCUGUCCCCUUUCUUCCCUUCUGGAUUUUUUUUAAACUUACCCCACCUAAUUUCUGGAUGUAAAGGUUAGCAGAAAUUGUAGUGUCUUUCCCAAAAUUUUCAUGGCUUCUCAAGGGAUUGACUUACGUACUCAAUUAAGACAUCAUGGCUGCAUCUUGUGCCAUUAUGAAAAUGAAAGCACUUGCUGGUAGCUUCUGUAGACAUUUAUUUAGCACAGAGCAUCUCUGAAAUCACAAGGGCUAUAGUUUUCCUACCAAGCAAUUGCCUGCAUAUGGAAUAUCUACCUUUUCUUUCUUUUUGUUUUUUCCAUUUGCAAGAAAAUUAAUUCUGGAAAAGGUUCUCUUAUGUGAACUUAAGCACGCUUUCCAAAGUUGCCUGGAAGCUUUUGCAUCCUAAGAUUAAUUCUGCACAUCUUAAAUCUGCACUAUGAAAAGAUACCCAAACUACAAAUGAGGUAUCUUAGGUAUAAAGUAGUGGGAUAACUGUUUUAGCCUGGUGCUUUUGUGUUCAUGUUCCUGAUUUCUUGAGAGAGCUCACAGUCUGCCUUCAAUGCCAUCCUGGCUGACCAUUCUUCUCUCAGUUUCUGAGCUAGCUGUAGGGUUUUGUGCAGAUAUAACUGUCUUAUCUUUGAAGAUAACUUAUGUCUCACAACAAGGCAAUGGAUUAAUUAUGAUUUUUUAAAAUCAUGUUUUAAAAUUGGACUUUGGCUCCUAUAUUACUCUUGAAAUGUUGAUACUUGGUCAAUAUUCAAUCUUUGUUAGGUCAAGAACACUAGGUGAAAAUGAAGACAGUAGUUAAAAAGCAAAGAUAUUAAUUACAUUGUCCAUUAAAACCUAUGACUUAGUCUUCAAACAUGGUGUGGACUAAGGCCCAGCUAUCAUUAGGGACAUAACUGAAGCAUCUGAGGAAAAUUUAGUCCAAGUAGUCUUCCUAGCCAGUUAACAGAGAAAAGGGACACCUUAGAGUUUGGUUCAUCCAAACUUACAUCUGAAUUGCUCUUUGAAGUUGUCUGUGUCUCUUCGUUGAAUGUAGGAGUCUGAGCUGACAAGGCUCCUAACUUAGAUGCCUCAGGUAAGUGUCAAAAAUUUAUCAUAUUUAAGAAUAUUGGUUUAAAAAUAAUAUUUAUACUGCUUUUGUGCAGUAUAUGGCUUCCCAUUGAUUAGUUAAGAGAAAAAUGUAUGAAGUGCAUGAAUUCAAAGAUGACAGUCAAAACUACAAGUAUUACAGGUUAAGUAUGGCAGGUCUUUGGAUGUGAAAUUUGAUUAUAAAUUAAAGGAGUAGAUAAUAACUAUAACCAUGGCUUAUAUUCCUUACAUCUUGAAGAAGUGCAGCAAUUUAGAUCAAACAAAUUUUACAUUUCAUCCUUGGUUUUCAUAUUGCAAAGUGCUUACAGUAGGCAAUACUCCACUACUGAUAAUUGUAGCAGUUCUGUUCAGGCAAAAAGUACUUUAGCAUUUCAUAUUUCAGAGUAAAUAGACAGGAUUUAUCCUUUAAAUAUUGGCCAGAAGACUACUUUUCCAAUAGUGCUGUCAGAAUAUUGGGUUUCUGUUAAACUAGUAGAUAAGAAGAGACAAAUAAUAUAUUAUAUGCUUGAAAUAUACACAGUGUGAUUCUUCAUUAUUGUUAGACAUAUUUUCCUAUUCCACCUGCAUAGAAAUUGUCUUAUUUAAAACUGGUAUUUUGUGACUUUUCAAAGUAUGCACACGCAUAAAUUUUAAGUAGUGUAAUUAUCCACUGAAGAAAUUAAGGCUUCCCCUACUUCUGAUACAUUUUGUCUAUCUCUCCAAGCAUAGUACCUGUCAAAAAAGGUAUUCUGGAAGAUGUGGGAUGACAGACAGAUCAUUGUGGAGGUCAUCUUAAGGUUGCUGUCCUUAAUGAUGGCUAGUAAUAUGGCUGGCUUCAGGCCAGUGAGAUAUGAAUAUGACCAGCCUGCAUUAAGACUGGUGGUGGACACCUCCAUUUAGCCAGGUUCAAGCCUGAGGCUGACAGGAACCAUUCUUCUGAGGAUAAUGGUAGGGUUAGGUUUGGAACUGAGGCUGGCUGAUGACAUGCAGUGAGGAUGCGUCCAGAAUUUGCCACUGGACUAGGUGUAGGAUUUAGCCAUGGUACUGUUUGGUUAAGGUCAGGCGUGGGACUGUUGGGGAGGACACAAUGAAUUAGGUUUGGAGUCAAGGUGGUUCAUGCUAGCAGCAGAAGUUGAUUUACAGUGGGGCCUGCAAAGGUGUCACCCAGAGACAUGGUUAUUGCCAAGUUUUACAGGGAUCACUGACCUUGGGUUAGGGUUAGGAUUAGGCUUAGGCAGACAUUGAUUGGCAAAUGAGAGUUAUGGUUGAGUUAAGAAGGAUCAAUUAAGCAACAUAGAAGCAGCAGAGCCUGUCUGAAUAGCUUUAAGUAUGAAGCUGAAAUCUAUCUCUACUUCAUAGCCAAAAAAAGGGUGGGGAUGAGAGCCAGGGUUCAAAUUGUGUCAAUGAACAAUGAGGUUCCAUCUGAACCAUCAAGACUGAUGUAAUCACCAGUUCUACCAGUACUCUGAUAGUCCAAAGCAGGUGAUCUGCUGGAGCCCAACGUGCCUACCGCCUUGCUUCAGCCUGCCGGGAUCCACUUCCAGUCAGGCAACAACACAGUUUGGAUAUUCAUCAGGAGUAGAGAACAGAGAAGUGACUAAUAGCAAGUAAUUCCUAUCUAGGUGUGAGUCCAAAAGGGAAGAUAGCAGUCUGUCUAGGUUCAACAAUGUGGCUACAACGAAAGCUAGGAGUAGAAGAUGUUGAUGUAGAGCAGUGUCCACUCAGGGUCAGCUGAACUAGCUUUAGGGCUGAUAGCUGAGAGGAAGAUAACUGGCUCUGCUUAAGUCAGAAGCUGCAGUGAUUACUUGUUUAAGGCUAACGUUGGAUUGAAGCUUGGUGAGAUGAUGGGCAAAAACUAGAACUAGAAAAGGUUACAGUAUUUCAGUGUCAUUGGGGUUUCAGUCUGCAGCAGCAGCAUUGUUUUAGAUCUGAAGUUAGCAAAGACUGCUUUGUACAGAUAUGGCAUCUAGUUGGGUAGUCAGAUUUGAAUGAUUCCUAAAAAUAAGCUUGGUAGUAUUUAAAUGCUGAUGAUUUUGAGGAUGUGCACAAAGGUAAGAACUGAGCGGUCUGAUCGGAUGUCUAGAAGAAGAACCUGUCUGGGAAACAUAAGGA